This 682-nucleotide long non-coding RNA is filed under the name Salmo salar (Atlantic salmon). RNAcentral describes it as "lncRNA (ENSSSAG00000089093.1)". Lineage: Eukaryota; Metazoa; Chordata; Actinopteri; Salmoniformes; Salmonidae. The record is from RNAcentral.
GGAGGUAUGGGACUGUAGGUAGAGGUAUGGGACUGUAGGUGGAGGUAUAGAGGUAUGGGACUGUAGGUGGAGGUAUAGAGGUAUGGGACUGUAGGUGGAGGUAUAGAGGUAUGGGACUGUAGGUGGAGGUAUAGAGGUAUGGGACUGUAGGUGGAGGUAUGGGACUGUAGGUGGAGGUAUAGAGGUAUGGGACUGUAGGUGGAGGUAUGGGACUGUAGGUGGAGGUAUAGAGGUAUGGGACUGUAGGUGGAGGUAUGGGACUGUAGGUGGAGGUAUAGAGGUAUGGGACUGUAGGUGGAGGUAUAGAGGUAUGGGACUGUAGGUGGAGUUAUAGAGGUAUGGGACUGUAGGUGGAGGUAUGGGACUGUAGGUGGAGGUAUGGGACUGUAGGUGGAGGUAUAGAGGUAUGGGACUGUAGGUGGAGGUAUAGAGGUAUGGGACUGUAGGUGGAGGGAUAGAGGUAUGGGACUGUAGGUGGAGGUAUAAAGGUAUGGGACUGUAGGUGGAGGUAUAGCGGUAUGGGACUGUAGGUGGAGGUAUAGAGGUAUGGGACUGUAGGUGGAGGUAUGGGACUGUAGGUGGAGGUAUAGAGGUAUGGGACUGUAGGUGGAGGUAUAGAGGUAUGGGACUGUAGGUGGAGGUAUAGAGGUAUGGGACUGUAGGUGGAGGUAUGGGACUGUAG